This 73-nucleotide transfer RNA is filed under the name Paractinoplanes pyxinae. RNAcentral describes it as "tRNA-Trp". It matches the Rfam family "tRNA". Rfam says of the family: Transfer RNA (tRNA) molecules are approximately 80 nucleotides in length. Their secondary structure includes four short double-helical elements and three loops (D, anti-codon, and T loops). The record is from RNAcentral. Lineage: Bacteria; Bacillati; Actinomycetota; Actinomycetes; Micromonosporales; Micromonosporaceae.
AUGGGCGUAGCUCAACUGGUAGAGCGACGGCUUCCAAAUCCGUUAGGCGCGGGUUCGAAUCCUGCCGCCCAUG